RNAcentral lists this ribosomal RNA (1682 nucleotides) under Staphylococcus epidermidis. RNAcentral's name for it is "partial 23S ribosomal RNA". It matches the Rfam family "Bacterial large subunit ribosomal RNA", at positions 1252 to 2925 of the family's 2925-position model. The record is from RNAcentral. Lineage: Bacteria; Bacillati; Bacillota; Bacilli; Caryophanales; Staphylococcaceae.
GAAGCAUGAUCGCAAGGACAUGUGGAGCGCUUAGAAGUGAGAAUGCCGGUGUGAGUAGCGAAAGACGGGUGAGAAUCCCGUCCACCGAUUGACUAAGGUUUCCAGAGGAAGGCUCGUCCGCUCUGGGUUAGUCGGGUCCUAAGCUGAGGCCGACAGGCGUAGGCGAUGGAUAACAGGUUGAUAUUCCUGUACCACCUAGUAUCGUUUUAAUCGAUGGGGGGACGCAGUAGGAUAGGCGAAGCGUGCUGUUGGAGUGCACGUCCAAGCAGUAAGGCUGAGUGUUAGGCAAAUCCGGCACUCAUAAGGCUGAGCUGUGAUGGGGAGAGGAAAUUGUUUCCUCGAGUCGUUGAUUUCACACUGCCGAGAAAAGCCUCUAGAUAGAUAACAGGUGCCCGUACCGCAAACCGACACAGGUAGUCAAGAUGAGAAUUCUAAGGUGAGCGAGCGAACUCUCGUUAAGGAACUCGGCAAAAUGACCCCGUAACUUCGGGAGAAGGGGUGCUCUUUAGGGUUCACGCCCAGAAGAGCCGCAGUGAAUAGGCCCAAGCGACUGUUUAUCAAAAACACAGGUCUCUGCUAAACCGUAAGGUGAUGUAUAGGGGCUGACGCCUGCCCGGUGCUGGAAGGUUAAGAGGAGUGGUUAGCUUCUGCGAAGCUACGAAUCGAAGCCCCAGUAAACGGCGGCCGUAACUAUAACGGUCCUAAGGUAGCGAAAUUCCUUGUCGGGUAAGUUCCGACCCGCACGAAAGGCGUAACGAUUUGGGCACUGUCUCAACGAGAGACUCGGUGAAAUCAUAGUACCUGUGAAGAUGCAGGUUACCCGCGACAGGACGGAAAGACCCCGUGGAGCUUUACUGUAGCCUGAUAUUGAAAUUCGGCACAGCUUGUACAGGAUAGGUAGGAGCCUUUGAAACGUGAGCGCUAGCUUACGUGGAGGCGUUGGUGGGAUACUACCCUAGCUGUGUUGGCUUUCUAACCCGCACCACUUAUCGUGGUGGGAGACAGUGUCAGGCGGGCAGUUUGACUGGGGCGGUCGCCUCCUAAAAGGUAACGGAGGCGCUCAAAGGUUCCCUCAGAAUGGUUGGAAAUCAUUCAUAGAGUGUAAAGGCAUAAGGGAGCUUGACUGCGAGACCUACAAGUCGAGCAGGGUCGAAAGACGGACUUAGUGAUCCGGUGGUUCCGCAUGGAAGGGCCAUCGCUCAACGGAUAAAAGCUACCCCGGGGAUAACAGGCUUAUCUCCCCCAAGAGUUCACAUCGACGGGGAGGUUUGGCACCUCGAUGUCGGCUCAUCGCAUCCUGGGGCUGUAGUCGGUCCCAAGGGUUGGGCUGUUCGCCCAUUAAAGCGGUACGCGAGCUGGGUUCAGAACGUCGUGAGACAGUUCGGUCCCUAUCCGUCGUGGGCGUAGGAAAUUUGAGAGGAGCUGUCCUUAGUACGAGAGGACCGGGAUGGACAUACCUCUGGUGUACCAGUUGUCGUGCCAACGGCAUAGCUGGGUAGCUAUGUAUGGACGGGAUAAGUGCUGAAAGCAUCUAAGCAUGAAGCCCCCCUCAAGAUGAGAUUUCCCAACUUCGGUUAUAAGAUCCCUCGAAGAUGACGAGGUUAAUAGGUUCGAGGUGGAAGCGUGGUGACACGUGGAGCUGACGAAUACUAAUCGAUCGAAGACUUAAUCAAUUUUUUAAA